Onthophagus taurus is the source of this 594-nucleotide long non-coding RNA. RefSeq lists it as uncharacterized. Lineage: Eukaryota; Metazoa; Arthropoda; Insecta; Coleoptera; Scarabaeidae. The record is from RefSeq and is a predicted model, not a curated record.
UUUGAAAAUAACAAAUGGCCAACGUCUUAAGUUGUCAUCAAACUCGUUGAAGAAAAAUAGAGUUAAAUAAAUGAACGUUAUUCAAGAAAACUAAUAAAUCUUUACCCACAAGUUAUGUUAAAUAAGAAAAUAAAAUUAUCAUCCGACUCACUGCGAAAAAGAAAGGAUUGGAGUUCAAUGUGGUAUCUGGAUUAUGGAUUGUCUCUUGUGUUCGGGGCACUAACUAAUUUUCUGGAUUGUCUACAGGAUUCUUCUUACGGGAAAUUGAACUGCUUGUUCUUCGGAAAUAGGGUCUUGGAUGAUCUCGAAGAAGUAUCAGUAGUUCUCGGAAUAGGUUGUAGGAUGAUUCUCUUUUUAUUUUAAUAUCACAUACAUUGGAGUACAUGCCAAAUUUCAACAAUGAGUAAAGUUAGAAAAAUUCAAACUUAAAUCAAGGAUUUCUUCCUCAAAAUAACGUUAAAACCUUAAAAGAUGGAUGAAAAAUGUGUUUUAGGAGCUGAACUAUAAUAAUUGAUACUUUUGGAAGCAAACAAAACGGUUUAAGAUAAGAUUUUCACCAACAAAAAAUCUGUCACAAAUUCUAGGUUAUGUUCA